Molecule: long non-coding RNA, 39573 nt
Filed under: Coffea arabica (coffee)
Lineage: Eukaryota; Viridiplantae; Streptophyta; Magnoliopsida; Gentianales; Rubiaceae
Description: long non-coding RNA (CARA_LNC004136)
Source: RNAcentral
GUAAUGGUAACACAUUGAAGGAUUUCGAGUCGAAACCCGGCUCCUUUCUCUGGGGGUAUCAAGGCAACGACGCUGAGUCUAAGUCUAAGGAGGAGAAGCCUCUUAUGAAAGGCUUUGAGUCAAAGCCCGGCUCCUUUCUUUGGGGGUAUCAGGGCAACGACGCUGAAUCUAAGUCUAAGGAGGAGAAGCCUCUUAUGAAAGGCUUUGAGUCGAAGCCCGGCUCCUUUCUCUGGGGAUAUCAAGGCAACGACGUUGAGUCUAAGUCUAAGGAGGAGAAGCCUCUUAUGAAAGACUUUGAGUCAAAGCCCGGCUCCUUUCUCUAGGGGUAUCAAGGUCCUCUUAUGAAAGACUUUGAGUCGAAACCUGGCUCCUUUCUCUGGGGGUAUUAAGGAAACGACGCUGAGUCUAAGUCUAAGGAGGAGAAGCCUCUUAUGAAAGACUUUGAGUCGAAGCCCGGCUCCUUUCUCUGGGGGUAUCAAGGCCCUCUUAUGAAAGACUUUGAGUCAAAGCCCGGCUCCUUUCUCUGGGGGUAUCAAGGCAAUGACGCUGAGUCUAAGUCUAAGGAGGAGAAGCCACUUAUGAAAGACUUUGAGUCGAAGCCCGGCUCCUUUCUCUGGGGGUAUCAAGGCAACCACGCUGAGUAUAAGGAGGAGAAACCACUCGUGAAAGAUAAUUAAUGUCCAGGGAAGCCGCAACUUUACCUCUGAAUGAGCUACGGACAUAUAUGUCUUCUGGCUGGUCUGAUUUUCUCCAUUUUCUUUAUUGGCAUGAAAAUGUGUGAUAUGUAAUAAAUGCAGUUCUUCUUUCAACCAAGCGUUCCGUAUAAUUAAUUAAAUGAAGUCAGUACCGUUGAGUGCAUUUUCUGUUUCUUUGUUUGUUGUUUCUUUUUGCCAUUGACGGGUUUUUACUUUAAGUGCAAGUUUAAUUCCGAUUUUACACCCGUUGGACUGCAAGUAUACAGGUCGCAAUUGUAGUACAAGAUGUGUAUCGGGUCGAUCCCACGAGGAGCAAUUUAAACAAUUACUAAGCCCUUAUUCUCUCUAUUAUUUAGACUUACAAUUAAUUUGAGCAGAGAAAGUCUAAUGCUGUAAUCUACAAAUCUGAUAUACAAAUCUAGUUUAACAAAUACUGAAUACAAAUAGAGAAAUUUUACUUAAGGAAGAUUCUAGGGAUGUAGAUUCCACUUAUGGCAUAAACUACACAAAUGAAUGGAUUUACUCCUUGCUAUUAUUCUUGCUUAACCAGAGAUUUAUUUCCAAGAAUACCAAGUCUCAUUUUCAUGAUGAAAUGGCUUAGAGCAAUAUAGAUUUCCCUAUUUUCAUGGUGAAAUAUUCUACUACUCCGUUUUAUUUCAUGAAAUGCUCAAUAAUCCACCUAAGUGUAUCUCUAUUUUCAUGAACAUACAACUCAAGCUCUACUCAUGUGUUUCAAUUGUUAUUACCAAUUCUCAUUGAAUAAUAACACUAUAAACAUGCUAUUGGUGAUCAAUCAAUAACAAGUAAUCACAGCUACACAAGUAGACAAGUUAAUACAAGAUAUAACAAGUGUAGAUCACAUUCAAUUAGUAUUAUUUAGCAAUAAGUUUCAUCUACUCCCUAGAUGAAGGAGUUUAGCUACUCAUGAAUGAUUUAACAAUCAAACUCACAAGUUUAUUAAUGCAAAACAUCAUAAAGUACAAGUAUGAGAAAGAUAAAAGAAAGCUUAGCCAAUUGAAGGUGAAGCUCUCCAAUUCCUGCUAUGUUCUUGCACAAUAUGAUUAUAAGUGAAACUCUCCAAAAAAAUGCUUCUCCAAGUACUCCUAUCUAGAGAGAAAAAAUGUUACAAAAUGAAAAACUAGCUACGUAUGGUCCUCUUGGCUUCUCCCCUGUGUUUCUACAUAAAAUGUGGUAGAAAUUCCAUUCCUCUCACUUCAUAAUUUCCUCCACUCAGAUUUUGUAAAAAGAAGUCAAAGAUAUGAUGUUUCCUUUUGUCCACACUCAUUUGGUCUUCUCUUUUGUUGCAGAAGCAUGUGCCACCGAUUUCUGUCCCUCAAAAUAGCUGGAAAAGUUGUGAGAAAGGUAAAGAAAAACGGCUGUACCACUUGCUGAAGAGAGAGACAGAUCCGAGCCUCGGAUCCGAGGGCUGAAAAUGGAUCCGAGCUCGGAUUAUAGGAUCCGAGGUCUUCCCUUGAUAGAUCCGAGGUCGGAUCGUCCUGACCUCGGAUACACUCCGCCAGAAGUACAGACGAGGGGUCGGAUCCCUCUUAUACACACGGAUCCGAGCUCGGAUCCGUGUUGAGCAAUUUUCCAGUUUUUCACUUCUUCCCUUUUUCUACAUUUUUGCUCCCAAUUUCUUGUAUACUUUGUCCUCUGGAUGACCCUGACAUUUCUUUCAACUUGUGCAUGAAUUUCAUACAUCAAUUACCUUCACAAUUUCACAAAAUUAACGCAUUAAUCCACUCAUUUAUCAAUUUCUUAACCCUUAAACAAUAUUUAAGCAAUUAUCACCAAAAGAGUUCAAAUAUGGCUUUAAUCUUCUCAAAACAUACCAAAAAUUCAUGCCAAAUUCGUACAAAAUGUACGUUAAAUAUUCACUCAUCAGCCAUUUACCAUAGACAGGAAGCGCACAAAAAAUGAGCUAUUCAAGCAUGACAAGAAUCAUAGAGUGAGCGAACCAACUAUACCUUGAUAAUCUAAAAAGAGUUCUGCAAACUCGUACUCUCGUACUAAACCAGGACCAUAUAUAUAUAUAGAUAUGUCGAUUCAAUUUUCUAAUGAUGUGUGUGGUACGAACGCACAUUAGAAUUACAGAAAAUUCUAGAGUAAACUUUCACAAAAGAAGGGAAAGAAUGGAGAGCUCUUGAAGCGUGAUUGAUCGCUAUUCUUAAGAAUCCAAUUAUCCAUACUACACUAAGUAUUUGCUGUAGAGAUAAAGGUAAUUUAACUUUAGGAUACAACAAGAGAAGAAGAAGUUGAUAGCAAUAUCAAGUUUCUCAAACUAAGAAAUGAUCAAAUAAUUCUAGCUAGUUUUGACAAUAAAGGCUUGUUUUUUUACAAGUAACCUGUUUUCCACUCGUCUCUAAGUAUAUAUCCUUCGAUACGUGGCACUUAAUCCCAAUUAUUUGACUUUAAACUUCAUUCUGUGAUGUGGAUUCUAUGUGUUAGUAUAUACAAGACUAAUCUUAAACAUUACUUGAAAAUCAUAUUAUAUGUAAUUGAGUACCGCAUAACUUGCAAUUAUCCACUUACGCUCUCAAUAUUAUUGGGAUAUUACAUGGAUUUUCGUUUCGGUAACUCUAAUUAUAUAGUCUCACGAUCCAUCUUAACUGAAGGGGCCAUUAUGAAUUACCAAUUAUAUAGUCUCACGAUCCAUCUUAACUGAAGGGGCCAUUAUGAAUUAGAUGAACAUGAAGUUGAAUUUCGAUUCUCAAGCUAUUCCCUUCCUCUUUCUUCAUUGUAAGGAUUAGAGUCUCUUUUGGAGGAAAAAAACACUCUAAUUAUACAGGAUUAAAGCAAAUAGCAAUGGUUGAUAAGUGACUAAUUUACGUAAUAAUUGUAUAAUAUUUUAUAUUAUUUUUAGUCACUUUAGUUAUAUUAUUGGAAGAAAAUGAAUGAUUUUGGCUAUAAUUGGUGAAAAAUACUUUUAAAUAAUUAAAUGAGGUUUUUAUCACUUUUUACUUGGAUUUUGUGUAUUUUGAUAGUUUUGACAUAUUUUCGUAUUUCGGCUAUAACUUGAGUUACAAUGAUCGGAUUGGGAUGAUUCUUGAACCCAUUUGAAGAUAAGAGAUAGAUCUACAACUUUGGUGAAAACAUCUGAAUCCAGUUUGAAGCGUUUCCAAGUCAAAAAGCCGAAUUACAGUAGCAAAUUUCCACUGGUCGAAGCUGAAACAGGGCAAUGAGCAGGCAAGGGUAUUUCGGUCAUUUCUCAGCCUACACAGAUCCAAAUGAGGUGAUUCUUGAUGCAUUGGAAAGCUAACUCAAAGGGCUACAAAUUUCAUGUUUUGAUCAAGAGCUAAAUCAGCUUUUAUCAUCAAGAAAAGUUCAGUGGAAGUUGAUGCAAAAUUGGAGCAGAGCUGGAAAUUGAACCAGAAGUGAUCAAAUGGUCACUGUAGCAAUCCGGCAGGAAUUUGGCCGGAUUUGUGGCCGGAUUCCUGGCCGGAUUGUGGUCAGAGAAGGCUGCUCUUUACGCGGAAAACUUAAUUUCAUCUCCACCAACUCACAUGUGAUGCUAGACAUGUGAGAAACAUUCUCAGCUGUAAAAGGGAGGUGUAAACCUCACUUCUUGACCAACUUUCAUCAUUAUAUAGCAAAAGCUUGCAAGAUUGAAGGGAGAUAGAGAGAGAUACGGGAGAAAGCUUGGACUGCAAAAAAUGUAGCUCUACCAUUCUUCCUAGUGUUAGUUUAGCUUAGUAUAGAGUAGGAUAGUUCAUCCAUUCUUGUUAUUAGCUAGAUAAAGAAGAAGAUAAAGGAUGAAGAAGGCAAGGAAGAAAGCUCAUGUGACAAGGGUUGUAUUCCUUCCAAACUCUUUAUCUUUUGUACUUGAUUCCAAGUUUAGUUGAUAUGCAAGUUCUGGAUUUUGUGUUCAAUAUGUGUCUCUAAAGUUUAUACCUUGGGUUUGGUUGAACUUUCUAUAAUUGUUAGUGUUUAUUAUUUGGUUAUUUGAUUGCUAUGAUUUGAGCAAGUUAUUUAGCACUUUGGCUCUUUAAAUCAUGAUUAAUUUGGUACCAUUGAUUGUGAUUAUCUAAGGUGUUGUUUCUGCAAUGAAAAUUGAGAUUUAACACUGGUUCAAGAAGUGCUAAACAUAGGGAAUACACUCACGAGAGUAGAGCUACACCUAUGUGGUUUUAGUGAUUCAUUCCAUGUAAUUUCACUGAAGAAAUGAACUUGUAGCUAAUUUCAUAACCAUGAGAAUAGGUAUGGAUUAGUUAUGAGUAUAGUUGAUUCACUACGAAAGUAGGUUUCACAUGUUUAAGGAAAUUACACCAUAACUAGCUUAGAUGUAGUAUUCAAUGAUCCAAAUAUAGCACUUGCAUGAGUAGUUAGGGAUACCACAAUCUAAGGAGCUUUUAUUUGUUAUUUUAUAUAAUUUCAGUAGGUUAAAUUUGUUAUAAUUCAUUGAUAGUCUAAAUAAUAGAGAAGCUUUCGUAAUACCGGUAAUUGUUCACUCUUCCCUGUGGAAUCGACCCGAUAUAUACCCUAAACUACUAGUUGACCUGUAUACUUGCAGUGAAUGGGUGUAAUUCGAUUUUUUUUUUUUUAACUUGCACGUAUGUAAAAUACCCGUCAAUGGUCUAUAAAAGCAUAAAAAGUAAGCAGGCUGGGGCAUAUUUAUUAAAACAUGAAAAUAAUAUGAAAUUUUAUAAUACACAUGAUACGAAUAAUAAACUGUACGUAAAUAAUGCAAAUAUAUUCGAAAAGUACAAAGCUGAUCAAAAUACAGCUUCAUUUACCAUGUGCAUAAUAGCUGUGUGCACAUUCUAGUGAAGAUUUUUUUAUUUUUAGUGUAAGUGAGAAAUUUCGAGUUCCAAACCUUUCACUUACACUCUUUUUUCCUAUAUCAUCCAAUCCAUCCCUUCCCAUAUUUUUAUGAAGAUGAGCACAUAAUGUGAGUUUUUAUUUUUUGAGGUGAAUAACUUGUUCACAAAAAAGUUUUCUCGAUUUAGGUAAAGUUUAAACUUUACCUUGUCUAAACAACGCAAGUAGAUGCCACUAGGACUAGGGAUGGCAACGGGGCGGGGGACCCCUCCCCCAUCCCCCGCCCCGCUACCUACAAACUCCCCCCGUCCCCCGCCUCCCACUUCCCCUGCCCCGCCCCGCUUCCCCCGCGGGGUUAAUAAAAUUUUUCCCGCUAGAUUAAUAAAAUUUUAUUAUAGUUAAAUUUUAAUAAAUAAUCAAGUACUAAAAUAUCAACACAUCAUCAAGUUAUUAUUCAUUUUAAUUUUAUAAUUGAAACUCAUAAAAACAAUCAAACAAAAAUUAUUUGAAUACAAUCCAACAUGAUGAAAUAAAUAUAACUAAAAUAGUUAAGUUUUCACUUUUGGUACAAAUACAAUCACUAAUUCAUUAUUGUGUUUGUGCUUUUUUUUUUAGAAAAAGUGUUAUUCAAUUAAGUAUAAUUAGAAAUUUAGUAUAAAUGUAUUACUAAAUUUAGUAUAACUAAUUAAUAAAUUCUAUUAGUAGACAUGUCUAAUUAUUCGUAUAAUUGAUAAUAUUAAUUAUAUUACAUACACUAAUAUACAUUAUAUAAUACAUCUAACUAAUAAUAUCAUUAUCAUAAGUUUAUAACUAAUUAAAUUACAUAUUAUAUAUAAUUAUAUAUAUAAUUUUUUUUGAGGGUGGCGGGGCGGUGGAUGGGGCGGGGGUAUACUCCCCCGCUCCCCGCCUUGUUUCUAAACGGGGGAAAAAAUUCCCCCCCGUCCCCGCCCCAUCCCCCGCCCCAACCCCAGCCCCGAGAGCCCCCCGCGGGGCGGUUGCCUGCGGGCACCCGCCCCCAUUGCCAUCCCUAACUAGGACAGAAGUCAUUAUGAUGACUUCAUCCAAGGUAACGAAAAAAAAGGCGUACAAUUGCACUUAAAAUUUGUGAAUUUAUAGUACUAUUUCAUGGUUUAUCCUAGGGGUGUUUCGCGAAUCGAGCCGCUCGCGAUCGAAAACGAGCUCGACUCGAGCUCGUCAAUAUCGAGUUUGAGUCGAGCUCGAGCUAAUUAAGUCGAUCUCGAGCUCAAGCUCGAGCUCAAAAACAUUAAGCUCGUUGGCUCGCGAGCGGCUCACGAGCUCGAUUAUAUAUAUUUUUUUUUAUUUUUUAUUUUAAUAGUAAAAUUACAUAUAUCUCUAAUAUUUUAUUAUUUAUUAAAAAAAUUAUUAUUUUAUUCAUUUUUAAAAAUAAAUAAUUAUUUUUUAUUUUUUAAAAAUAAAAUAAUAAUAAUUAUUUUUUUAUUUUUUAAGCUCAAGCUUGAGCUCGAGCUCGACUCGAAUUUGACUCAUGCUCAAGCUCGAGCUCGAUAUUUUGAGCUCGUCGAGCUCGAGCUUCACAAAAUUAACUCGAGGUCGGCUCGAUUAGCCAAAGCUCGACUCGAGGUCGGCUCGUUUGCACCCCUAGUUUAUCCCCUCAAAGUUAACAACAAAUAAUGUUUUGAACCCCAUUUAAACAACUUAUGAGCGUAAUUCAAAUUUAUUGCUCCAUUAUGUGUGUACAAUGUAUCAAAACAAAAGAGUAGCAAAUUGUGUUUUAUUGCACUUUUUGUUUAGCUAGCUUCAUGCAAAUUAACCUUCGUAGAUUAUAGGUAAAGAAUUGGUUUGCCAUUCAAUGUAUCCAAGAAAUAUGUGUUAGUACAUAAUGCUUAUUUUAAUGGAUGUACUGGUGUAAAACAAAAUUACAAAUUAUUAAAUUUUAAACUUUACAAGUACUUAAAGCACAAUAAUUUUUUAUUAAAUUAAAAUUUUCCCUUCUGUGAUUUGGUAGUUUAUCUUAUAACCCCUCUAUAGUUUAAAAAUCUGUAAUCAACCUCCUCAUAAUCUGGGUUAACAUAUCAUCGUUAAUUUUUCUAAAGUUUAAGUCAAAUUAAUAUAUUGAAAAAUUUAUCCUUUCACUAAUUCUUUGAGGUAGUUACAAAACUAUUACAAUUAUUAUACACCUUAAACUAUGUAUUUGUUUUCAAGUAAACACAAAAGGUGCAACAAACCAUUUUUAGCCAAGUUAAUAAAAUUGCAAAUGUAACAAUAAAAAGCACCCUAUGAAAAGUUACUCUAUAUGAUUAAGAAAAUAAUUUAUAUUUAUUAGAAUGGAAAAAAGUUGCCAGAAGAGGGAGAGACCAUAAGAAAAAUAGUUUAGAGUGAACUGCAUCAAUCAUGCCUUCCAUCAGGGAAAAAUGAUAGAUGUGCGUGUAUAUAGGUACAUAUACGCGCAUUUAUGUAUGUGCAUGUACACGGACGUGAGGUAGUUCCUUUAAAAAGUAGCUUCUCCUGCAAUAAUCCAAAUUUUAGCACAGUGGCAGAAAUGGAAAAGUAGUAUAGGCUGAACCGAAAUCUACUAAAAUACAAGCUUGAAAUUCAGAUAGAAAUUGAAAUGCAUAAAACGUCCAGAGCCUUUUUUUUUUUUUUUUUUGAGGAGAUAAAACGUUCGGAGCUGAAAGCAGAACCAGUCUUUGAGUCGUAGUGUUAUUUAGAUUCAAGUGAAAGAGGGGGCACAGGAUACAAUACAGCAGCCAAACAGAAAUGGAAGCUUGAGCUCUUGGACCAUUUGGCCAGAACGGUAGAGCCCUAAAUUGGAACCAAUACAAAGCUUUCUGCCGGAAGAACAUGGCAAACAUGGGAGGUCCCGGAAGGCAACGCGACCAUGGUUCCGGUAUCCAUGUGACAAACAGCUUCGAUUGUCAGUAAAAUCCUGUACACGCCCGAUUGUCAGCCUGUUGAGAAUGGCAAUAAAAGAUUUAAGGAUAAGCCAUGGUUCGACAGGAUGUCAUCUUCGGAGUUAAAAUCAUUUCAGGAACUUGUAAGAUUGUGUUGUUUUUAUUAGGGAUAAUGUAUAUCUCUGUAACAGAGUUAAUGUAUAUCUCUGUAACAGAGUUGGUUAUCAGUUUGGAUUGGUAAAUAGAUAUCUAGCUGAUUAGGCGUUAUCCUUAGCUGUACUUGUAUUCAAAUAGGAUUAGUAGCUAUCGGUAGCGAUAUUCACGGUUUGGGCUGUAUGUAUAUAUCCUUGCCGAAUGCGUAAGAAACUGGAUAAAAACUUCUUCCGCUGAAACCUUUUCAUGGUAUCAGAGCAAGAACCUUCUGUCAACUGAAAAAACAUGGAAGGAGAUGGAAAGAAAAUAGUGUCGCCAUACACCUUGUAUGCCAAUGAUAAUCCUGGAAAUAUAAUCACCCAGGUACAGUUGAAGGAGGAUAAUUAUGACGAAUGGGCUAGAGCAAUCCGAACUGCUCUUAGAGCCAAGAAGAAAUUCGGAUUCAUUGAUGGAACCAUAGCACAGCCAGAUGAAGAUUCCGAUGAAUUAGAAGACUGGUGGACAGUGAAUUCCAUGCUUAUAUCGUGGAUGAUGAAUACGAUUGAGCCAACGGUGCGAUCUACUUUGACACACAGGGAGAUUGCAAAGAACUUGUGGGAAGACAUUAAAGAAUGUUUCUCAGUGACUGAUGGUGCACGAGUGCAGCAACUGAAGACAGAAUUAGCAAAUUGCAAACAGCAAGGACUCUCCCUUAUGAGUUACUAUGCUAAAUUGAAGCGACUGUGGGAGGAACUGGUGAAUUAUGAUGCAAUCUCUACGUGCAAGUGUGGGGGUUGUACGUGUAAUGUGGCAACUGAAUUAACAAAGAAACGAGAAGAAGAAAAACUUCAUCAAUUUCUGAUGGGGUUAGACGAUGCAUAUAGAACAGUGAGAUCAAACAUUUUGAGCACAACUCCAUUGCCUGGUGUGAGCAAGGCGUAUUCCUUGAUGUGCCAAGAAGAAAGGGUUCGAAAUAUCUCCAAGGAAAAAGAGAUUAACAACGAAGCGGCUAGCUUUGUGGUUCAGGCCAAAACAGGAAUCAAGGAUAGGAGUGCCGUUUGUAAAUACUGCAAUCGCGAAGGGCAUGAUGCUGACGGAUGUUUUCAGCUGAUUGGAUAUCCCGAUUGGUGGGGUGAUCGACCUAAAAUGUCUGGUUCGGGUCGAGGAAGAUAGACUGGAGGAAGAGGACGUGGCAAGAUGUCAGGAAGAGGACGAAAUGGGGCACGAGUUAAUGCAGCAAGUAAUUGAAGAAUCCACUGCUGCAACAAAGGAUUUUGCUACUCUUAAAGGACUGACAAAUGAACAAUGGGCAGCAGUUGUGAGUUUGUUGAACGCUUGCAACUCAGAAUCAGGGAGUAAUGAGAAGAUGACUGGUAAGGAAAACUUUAUCUGGAUAAUUGAUUCUGGCGCUACACAACAUAUGACAGGAAAUUCGAGCUGUCUAUCUAGCUUGAACCAGAUAUUAGGCUGUCCCAUUGGCUUGCCUAAUGGAGAACAGGUGCUGGCAUUGCAAAAAGGGUCGAUUCGGAUGGGACAAAAUAUUCAAUUAGACAAUGUUCUUCAUGCUCCGGGAUUACAUUGCAAUUUAAUCUCAGUAUCACAAUUGGUUGAUGACUCAAAAUGUAAUGUGUUGUUCACUGAUAAGCUUUGUUUGAUACAGGACCGCACUUCGAGGAUGGUGAUUGGAGCGGGUGAACGAUGCAAGGGGCUUUAUUACUUCAAGAAGGAGACGCCAGUCCAAGCACUUCAAACUCGGACGUUGGAUUCAUGUGAUCUUUGGCAUCGGAGAAUGGGGCACCCAUCUUCAAAGGUCGUAGGUUUAAUUUCUGGGAUUAAGAUUCAAUUAGGUUCAAAUGAAACUUGUGAUGCUUGUUUUAAAGCUAAGCAAACGAGAGAAGUAUUUUGUUCUAGUGAUAGUAGAGCUAGUGAAACAUUUGAAUUGAUUCAUUGUGACUUGUGGGGACCAUAUCGAGUCUCGAGUUCUUGUAAUGCAUCUUAUUUUCUUACGAUUGUUGAUGAUUUUUCGAGAUGUGUGUGGAUAUAUUUGCUGAUCGAUAAAACUGAAGUUGGCCAUAUUUUGCCAAAUUUUGUUACUAUGGUUCAACGACAAUUUGUUAAGAAUGUUAAGAUAGUUCGUAGUGAUAAUGGCAGUGAGUUCGUCAGUUUGAAGGGAUAUUUCUCUGCUAAAGGGAUAAUCCAUCAAACUUCAUGUGUGGGAACGCCCCAACAGAAUGGACGAGUGGAAAGAAAGCAUCGGCAUAUACUGAAUGUGGCUAGAGCUUUAAGAUUUCAGGCCAACUUACCAAUCAGAUUUUGGGGAGAAUGUGUGUUAACUGCUGGAUAUCUGAUUAAUCGUACCCUUUCUCAAUUACUAGGAGGAAAAACACCUUAUGAAAUGCUAUAUGGUCACUUGCCUGAUUAUCGGUCAAUUCGUACAUUUGGUUGCUUGUGUUAUGCACAGAGUUUGAAUCGUACGAAGGAUAAAUUUGCUCCUCGAAGCCGGAAGUGUAUCUUUGUGGGUUAUCCGUUUGGACAGAAAGGUUGGCGGUUGUAUGAUUUAGAAACACGGAAGUAUUUUGUGUCUCGGGAUGUUGUAUUUUGUGAAGAUGAGUUUCCAUGUGCAGUUGACCACACACCUGAUCAUGUUCGAACCUGUACGGAUAAUUCAAUAGAUGAUUACCUUGAAGAAGAGGUAGUAGGUCAGACAAGAGACAAGGAAAAGGAGCAGCCUACUCCUGUUCGUGCAACUCAUGAGCGUUUAGAUUGUGUGCCGAAUGACAAUGUCAACGUAAGGCAGGGAGGUGUAACAAUUGAACCUCGAAUAGAGAACGUAGAGACAGUAGAAGGUGUGACAGCACUUGGUCGUGGCCUUCGUUCCAAGAAAGUCUCUACACGGCUGAAGGAUUGUGUGACUUAUGCAGUUCAAAGUGCAAGCCCCUCUGCAAGUUCAGCCAAUCCAUCAUCAUUCUCAGGUACGUCUUAUGACUUAGCUCAAUAUGUUGAUUACACAAAUUUCUCACCAGGUCAUCAAGCUUUCUUGGCAGCCAUCACAACCAAUUUUGAGCCAAGAUUUUAUCAUCAAGCGGUUAAAGAUGUCCGAUGGAGAGAAGCUAUGCAAAAGGAGAUUGAUGCACUCAAACAAAAUGGCACAUGGACUCUUGUUGACUUACCACCAGGGAAGAAAGCAAUAGGAAGCAAAUGGGUGUACAAAAUUAAGUAUAAUUCUGAUGGGACCAUUGAACGAUACAAGGCGCGAUUGGUAAUUCUUGGCAACAACCAGGUUGAAGGGAUCGACUACAAUGAAACCUUUGCACCAGUAGCAAAAAUGGUUACGGUCCGCACAUUUCUCUCUGUGGCAGCAGCUAAAGGAUGGGGACUUCAUCAAAUGGAUGUUCAUAAUGCCUUUCUCCAUGGAGACUUAGCCGAAGAGGUUUACAUGAAACUACCUCCUGGAUUUCACACUGACCAACCCGGGAAGGUGUGUCGCUUAAGAAGGUCCCUUUACGGUUUACGACAAGCACCGCGUUGUUGGUUUGCAAAAUUGGCUGAAGCUCUAAAACGGUAUGGUUUUCUUCAGUCACAGUCUGAUUAUUCCUUGUUUACUUUGAUACGAGAUGGGAUCCAGUUGGGUGUGUUAGUGUACGUGGAUGACCUUAUUAUAGCUGGAAACAAAACGCAUUUGAUCAAUGCAUUCAAAUCAUAUUUGCGCAAGUGUUUUCACAUGAAAGAUUUAGGUGUUUUGAAGUACUUUUUGGGCGUUGAAGUAGCUCGAAAUGCUGACGGGAUUUUCUUGUGUCAACGGAAAUAUGCUUUAGAUAUCAUUAAUGAAGCAGGAUUGUUGGGUGCUAAACCUUCGGAGUUUCCUAUGGAGCAGAAUCAUUCUCUCGCUUUAGCCAAAGGUGAUUUGCUGCAGGAUCCUGAUCAAUACCGAAGGCUGGUAGGCCGUUUGAUUUACUUGAGCUUAACUCGGCCUGAGCUGCCCUAUGGUGUGCAUAUUUUGGCACAAUUUAUGCACCAGCCACGGAAAGAGCAUUGGGAGGCAGCCUUGCGCAUAGUCCGAUACUUGAAAGGUAGUCCAGGACAAGGCAUUUUACUCAAAGCUGAUUGCAAUCUUCAACUGAAAGCUUAUUGCGAUUCGGAUUGGGGAGGUUGUCCAUUAACUCGGAGAUCACUUACAGGUUAUUUCAUCUUUCUUGGGACCUCUCCGAUUUCAUGGAAGACCAAGAAACAACAUACGGUUUCUCGCUCUUCUGCUGAAGCGGAAUAUCGCUCCUUGGCCGCCACGGUCUGUGAAUUGAAAUGGCUAAAGGGUUUGUUAUUGUCUUUGGGAGUGCAUCAUGAUCAAUCUGCUGGAGUAUUCUGUGAUAGCCAAGCUGCGAUGCAUAUAGCUGCCAAUCCUGUCUUUUAUGAACGCACCAAACACAUCGAAGUUGAUUGCCAUUUUGUUCGCGAUGAAAUACAGAAAAGUAUGAUCAAAACGGUUUAUGUUCGAAGUCAUGACCAGUUAGCAGACAUUCUAACCAAAGCUUUGGGUCGAGAUCAGUUUGAGUUUCUUCUUCGCAAAUUGGGCGUUCGUGAUCCUCACGCUCCAACUUGAGGGGGGGUAUUAGGGAUAAUGUAUAUCUCUGUAACAGAGUUAAUGUAUAUCUCUAUAACAGAGUUGGUUAUCAGUUUGGAUUGGUAAAUAGAUAUCUAGCUGAUUAGGCGUUAUCCUUAGCUGUACUUGUAUUCAAAUAGGAUUAGUAGCCAUCGGUAGCGAUAUCCACGGUUUGGGCUAUAUGUAUAUAUCCUUGCCGAAUGCGUAAGAAACUGGAUAAAAACUUCUUCCGCUGAAACCUUUUCAGUUUUGCAAUCUAUCUGGAGUUGAUCUCGUGGGUUGUUGUGUCAAAAAGACUCCAAUAUUGGUCUCCGGACCCAUGAUUUUUCCUGCAAAUUCACCCAAUAACUCAUAGGAUGCGACACAAGUAUUCUUCUCUCCGUUGAUCGGCAUCCUCUCACACUCUCGAAGAGUAUUUUCCAUCAUCUGGGCUUUUCGAGGUCCUUGAGGAAUCGAAAAGUGUUCAAGAAUGUAAGGGAGUUGCUCUAGCUGUGGCAACUGACAAAAUUAUCCUUGAUUGCUAUUCUCUCUACAGGGUUCAAUGUAUAUGCAUGUGACAACAGUAUACCCUGUUAAUGGAGAAUUCAAUUUGGUGCUAUAUAUAGCCCAUUCUUAAACCAGGUUUUGUUUGAUUGGUUUUUAAAUUUGCCAGUGAUCAUACUGAGACCGGAUUGCCCCUGACGAAUUUGAAUUAUGGAGGCGAGUCCAUUAUUUGAUCAAGAACCACCAAGAUUUACUACAUGGCAAGCCAAGAUUUCAAUCUCAUCGAGCUCUUUUACAUUCAUUGUAUGGCAUGUACAAGAGCAUUAGUUUCGUUAAGUUAACGAUCAAUAGUUAUAAAUUCACAUGCAUAAAAAAAUAAAGUAAUUUUAGUUUAUGUACAUGACUCAGGAAAAAAUAUACCAAUAUACAGUAAUUCUUGGUAUAUAUAUUGAUUGUUAGUUCAUGUACAUAACUCAGGAAAAAAUUUUAGUUCGUGUACAUAAAUCUUGGUGUAUGUUUGUACCAAUUUUUGUGAAAGUUAAAUCAACCAAGCACAACUGGACCUGCGCCAAUCCAGGAUUUUCACUUGCCCGUCCCCCUAAUCCAAAUUUGAUGCACAUGCCAUAAAUUAAAAGAUAAAAAACUUAACAUUGGAGAAUUAAAUGUGCAAAAAGAAUAUAUAAUAUAAGACUAUUGUACAAUAUCAACAUAUGACACAUGUCUAUUGUACAACAUCGUCAAAUCAAGAAAAUACGCACACCCAGAAUACAUAGAUGUUCUAUACAGUCCCUAAAACUUUUUUUUAUAUAUACUAAUUUGAUACAGUCCACAGAACUCCAGUCUUUACCGUUACAAUUUCAACUUCUAAUUCUCUUUAGGGUAUUAAGAAGGCCUUACUUAUAAUAGGUCUGAAGAAAAGUCAAGACAAGAAGGAAAGCAGCGGCAAAUAAAGCAAUCGCUGUCCAGGGACUGUUAAAAUAAAUGUAGAAGAGUUCGGCCAGCCAUGUCUUUGCCUUCUUGUUGUAGUGUGCCUGAAUUUUCUCGUUCACAUCAUGACAAAUGGUGACAUUCCGCAUCCCGUAAGUGUUUAUGUCUUUAUAAACUGCUAGGUUUGGUUACAGGAAAUUGACAAAAGGAUUUUUGACAAUCUUAAAAAAGACAAAUAACAAAGCAAAAAUAAAUAAAAUAGAAACACAUGAAUUUACGUGAUUCGAUCAAAUUGACCUAGGUCCACGGGCGGAAGAGGAACAAUAUUUUACUAUGAAGAAAAAAGUACAAAAAUGCCUUAGGCCCAAAAAAACAAGAGAGUCCAAAAUAUUUUAUUAAACAAAAAAUUUAAUGACUCAAAGGUCUAAAUAGUCCUCUAAAUCUCUGUUGGUUUGGCAUACUUAAUCCCGUCACAAACCCAUUAUAUUUAUAGGCAACUAAGAGAAAGGCUCCCUUAUACAAAAGUCGAUAUGGGACAAUGCCACUUUAACAAAUCUCCACCUUGGCGUGUUCUCAAUAUCGACAAUAGCAAAAUUAUUCCACCUUCUCCACAUAAUCCCCAAUAGGCCUAAAUCACCAGCAACGAAUACCAACCAAAUUCAAGCAUUGAUUGAACUUAUAAAUUGGAAGAGGUUUUGUGAGCAUGUCUGUAGGAAUCUCCUUGGUACUGAUUUUCUGAACAAGGACUUUUCUCUCAGUAAUAAUAUCUCGAAUGAAAUGAAAUUUCACAUGAAUGUAUUUCGUUCUCUCAUGAUAUAUCUGGUCUUUAGUCAAAUAAAUAGCACUUUGACUAUCACAGUAAAUAGUAUGAUGAGAAUAUAAAGACCAAGGCCCAUUCAAGCACAUGGGGAAUUGGAAGAUUCAAGUGAAGACUAGUUGAUUGCACGAAUACUUGAGUUUAGUAGGAUUAUUUGAUUUUUCUCGUUGAUUUUGGUUAUUUCUCGCUUUAGAAAGUCUAGGUAAUUAAGCUAGUUUAAUUGCGGCUCAUUUGUUAGUAAGUGAUGCCCAAAAUCUUCCUUAAAGUAUGUAGGGUAGUUUGGUCAACUUUUGGAUUAGGGUUAAUGCUUGUAAGGGCUAUAAAUAGCCCCACUUCCUCUUUGUUUUAGGGGAUCAGUUUUUGACUAUUAAAUACAAUUAGUGAGUUUUCACUUUCUCUUUGGCAAGAGAGUUUCCUUUGAAUACUUGAGAAUCUUCUCAAGUUAUUCGCCUGAACUUAUCAAUCGAGUAUCUCCUUGAUUGUGGCGUUCUACUACCUCCAAUUUGGUUCGUUAAUUCGAGCAGUGACGGGUUGAGAUAAUAUCAAAAUUGUUCGUGACUUCUAGGGAUUAGUUGGGUCAAAUUUCCGCUGCCUAAACCAUGGUGUUUUGGUUGUCUAGAUCGGGGAUUCACAUCAGUUGGUAUCAGAGCUAGUCGACAACCACCAGGUUAUAUCUUUUUUUUGUUCGUGUAUUUCGAGUCAUAUAUGUUUAUCCCAAUCUGUUCGUUUGUUUAGAACCAAAAAAAAAAAAAAGUGUCACUGUUCACAGUUACUGUUCACACCAACACUGUUCAUCGUACUGUUCACCGACACUGUUCAUCAUUACUGUUCAUAGUUACUGUUCAUCCGAAUACAAAUCUGUCCAGCCUUAUUGUUUGUGUUAUCCAACUUGUUUACUUGGUUUUCAAAUCUGGAUUUUGGCAAAACUUGUUGGAAUUUUGUGAAUCUUGAAGAGAACUUACAAUAAUCUUGAGUUUCUUGCAUUCUUGAUCACAAUCUUGAAAUUUCUGAAGUUCCUGACAACUUCCUUGAAAGUUCUUGAAAGAUCUUGGAGUUCUUGGUAGUUAUUAUUUGUGGACUUCCUUGUUUUGUGUCGUGGUUAAUAGUUGUAGUAAAAAAAAAAUCACAGAAAACAAAAACGAAAAGAAAAAGAAAGAAAAGAGGAAUCGGUUGGCAAAAAAAAAAAAAAAAGGAAAGAAAGUGGCAACCGAAUUGUUUUGAAUAGGGAACCAAAUCUGAUUUAUGCAAUCUUUCUUGGAGUAGAAUUUGGAAGUUACCAAAAGUUGUUUCAAGAAAAUUACCAAAGGUUGUUUCAAGAAAGUUACCAAAAGUUGUUCAAGAGGAAAAGGAUUUUCAAAGGGUUUCCAAAAACUAACUUGUUUCCAAAAUUAAUUAGGAAACUAAGUAAAGCACUUGGAUAACUCUUUGUACUCAUUUGGACACUCUCUCUGCUACCUUUUUAGGAAACUUUCCUAAACUCUCUCAUCCAUUUCUUUUGGAAACUUUCCUAAAGUCUCCCAUCUAUUUUUAGGAAACUUUCCUAAAUUCUCUCAUACAUUUUUAGGAUCUUUCCUAAUUCUCUCAUCCACUUUAGGAAACUCUCCUAUAUUCUUUCAUCCAUUUUAGGAAACUCUCCUAUAUUCUCUUCCUAAAUUUUAGGAACACUCUCCUAUACUUUCUCCUAUAUUUUCUCCUAACUUUUAGGAACACUUUCCUACACUUUCUCCUACAUCUCCGUGAUUACUGUUGAGGAAGAAGUUGGUGACAAUUAUUUAGGCUUGAGCAGCAUUUCUCAAACUACCUAACCCAACAGGUAAAGGUGUUUGGUAAGUCCAUUGGAGCGCUUUGAGUGACAUACACGAGGGUGAGUGAUACACUAAGGGAGUGAGCGAGGCACUUUCUACUAACUGUUUGUUGAGCCUUGCAGGUACUCUAUAAACAUGUCUCAAACUCAUGCGACAAGUGACCCUUAUGACAUGAAACAUGUUCUUGAAGCAUUAACAGGCGUCAUUGAUCGCAUGGCUCAGAGAAUUGAUACACUGGAGGAUAAGGUGGAGCAAUCAACCCUAGGCAAGAAUGCCUCCAAAAGACAACCAUACGUGGAGGAGUUAGGUGAUUCGAACAAUGAGGAGGACAUGGCAGAUGGAAACCGAUUCCGGAAUUAUAAACGCAUCCCUAAUCAAGGGGAUGAUGAACUAAAAGGAAUCAAGCUCAAAAUUCCUACCUUCCCAGGCAAGUUGGACCCUGAAGCAUAUUUGGAAUGGGAGAGGAAGAUUGAGAUGCUCUUUGACUGCAACCACUACUCAGAGUCCCAAAAAGUAAAGUUGGCAACCAUUGAGUUCACUGAAUACGCAGCCAUUUGGUGGGAUCAGAUUCGCACCAGACAAAGAAGACAUGAAGAACCACUCAUUCGCACUUGGGAAGAACUCAAAAGGAUCAUGAGGAAGCGCUUCAUACCAGCGUAUUAUGAUAGGUUGCAAUUUUAUCAUUUAUUUUAUAAUUAAUUUCUCCUAUUACCUGACUUGAUGUGGGUUAAUUGCGGGAUUCUACUCACUUUUAGUAUUUUACAUUUAUUUCAGGGAGUAGAACGAAAAUAUAAUAACAUGUGCUAAUUUGACAGAAAAAGAGUCCAAGGCACAGAGCUUAUCCCGGGGGCAUUAUUGGCAAAGGAAGACUUUUGCCCAUUUUGGUAAUUUCAAAAGAAGAGAGCAGGGCAGAGGCCUCUAUUUUACUGGAGGCUGGAGCGCCGCACAAGGGGGUCUUCUUCUUCCUCUGCGGAAGGAGAGCCGCCGCGCAGAGCUUCUCAAAAGAGGACAUUAGAUAGGAAUAGAGCAAACAAUGGCAGACAACUCUUUAGCUUAGUCUUUUGACUUUUCCUUGUGGGCUCCAAGUAGCUUUUCCUUUUCCUUCUCGUAUGAUUGGACAAGUAGAAACCAUAGAAUCAAUUGCUGUAGCUUUGCUAUCUUUUCAAACAUUGGAACCGAAUUGAAUUUCCCCAAUUUCAAGGGACAAUGGCUGCGGCUCUCUUUGCAAUUUCUGGUGGGUUUAGUUCAUCAAUUAUGAACUAAUUUUCCAAUUCUAGUCAAGGAGCAACGAAGCCUUUGGUUCGCCUAAAAAUUGUGAGAUCGAUUUAAUUUAAUCUUUUCCUUUUAUUUAUUGGUAUUCGCAUAUUUCCUGGUUACAGUGCUUAUGAUUGUUUAAUUAAUUGAUUGUCUUGGAUCCGGAUAAUUAGUUAAUUUGGUAAUCUAUUGUCAAUUGGGACGUUAAAUCCGUAAUUGUUUAAUUGUCUCAAAAUAGUGAUAACUGGCAUGAUUAGGUUUGUGUCAGGGGAAUACGCGGGCUAAUCUAAAAUAACCCUGGUAGUGCGUUAUUUGGUUAGAAUAGGGCUCCUUUAAUACGUAAGGCAAUUGGGGAAUUAAAUUCUAUGGGCGUACCUAGGAUUAUUUCUCAAUUAGAGCAGUGAUUAACGGGCGUACCUUGAUCACCGACACAGUAAGGAGGGGUUGACUGUCAUCGCUUGCUUGGCAGUUAUAACCUAUUUAUUGAUAAAUAAUUGGAAUUGCCUUUGCUUAUCGAUGAUCAAUUAGGUGAACCAUUGUUGAAGUUAUUUCUUGGCUAGAUCCUUAAUUAUCACUCAUUAGAUUUUAGUAAUUUGUUAUUUAAUUUCUAGUUGGUUAUUUUAUUUUUAUUUUUAUUAUUUUACUUUUAGUUGAAUUGUUUAAAUUGUCACCCCUGAGAUAAAAACACCCCCCAUGUCACUGUGAAUUUGGAAAGGAACAAUUACUCCCAGUCCCUGUGGAUUCGACCCUGCUUACCACUAUCUACAGAAAUUAACUUUAGUUUGAGCAGGUUUUAUUAUUGCACAGGCUGACGACCUGUCAAUUUUUGACGCCGUUGCCGGGGACUGGUGCCAGAUUAAUUUGUUUCUUUUUGAGUUUAUCUUGUUUUCAUUUUUUUUAUUUUAUUUUUCUCUUUUUUUUUAUUUUUUAUGGCUGCUAACAUUCCAUAUUUUGAUGAUAGACUGGACUUUGUUCCUAAAUGGGGUUAUGAGACUCAUGUUUUUCCUAAUGAUCAAUGGGCUGUUGCAAAUUGUGGAACUUAUUUUGAUUCAGGUUAUUCAACUGACACAUGCCCCGCAUUUCAAGAUAAUUUAAGCGCUCCAAUUGAUACUUUUGGAGAUUUUCCAUCUCGAUUUCAAACGUGGUAUGACCCUUAUUCAAACGGGUAUGAUCAAGGAUGGUGGGAUAAUUCCAAUUUUGAUUAUGCGACCGGGCCAAUGGAUUUUCAACAGCAAGAGUCUCAGCAAUCAUCCUCCGUGUCAGGUAUGUCUCUUGAAGAAAUGAUGGGAUUACUAAUUGCUAAUACAAAUCGAUUUCAUCAGGAGACACAAGCGAGUCUAAAUCGAUUUCAUCAGAAGACACAAGCGAGCCUUCGCGACCUGGCGGAUCAAAUGCGUCAAUUGACAUCCAGGAUAGAGCGAUUAGCUUCUCACCUUGAAGAAUUGCCCUCACAAACCAAUAUCAAUCUUGAAGGAGAUGAGAGUGCAAUUAUCCGGCCAAAUGACAUGGAACUGCAAGAGUUUCAAGGAAACGGAUUUAAAGAUGCAGUUGAAAAGGAAGUUGAAGUGCAAAAAAUGAGACUCCAGGAUCAACUCAUUAAAGUGAAUGAAUCCAGUGAACAAUCUCCAAAUGCGGUGACAUCCCCUCCACUCUUUCAUCACUAUUCUCCUGACUCUUACUUCUCAAUUCCUGUUAAUGAAAUUGACUUUAUUAUACCAGACAAUUUUGAAUUUCAUGACAGGAAUAAAUUAAGAGUGGCGAUGGCGAGAUAUCUUGAACCAAUAAAUGCAAAUGAGGGAGAAGUGAAUGGAGAAUGCAAAUUAUCAUCGACUCGUUUGGCGCCAUUCACUAGUCCAUGGAAGCCCGUAGCUGGUAUGCUCAAGGAUUAUUCUAUUUACGAGGGUUAUCAGGACUAUAUAGAGGAUGAAGCAUUAAAAUGAGCCACACGAUUUUAUCCUCCAUGAACAAAACAUGAUAAUGUCUAGCCAAAGACAUUAAAGAAAGGCGCUCAUUGGGAGGCAACCCAAUUUCUUUUAGUUGUUUGUUUGAUUUUAUUUGUUAGUUUAAAUCUGUCUUCCUUGAAUUUGACUAAUUUUGGGUGUUAAUUUUCGUUUUACUGAUUUAUAGGUGCCCUUCAGUCAUGGCGUGCCCGCGUGGUUAUGUGCAGGAAGCUCACGAUCAGAAACUUCUGGGAGCUCUCUUGCCCUCAUGAUGUGCCCGCGUGGUGAUGUGCAGGAAGCUCACGACCAGAAACUUCUGGGAGCUCUCUUGCUCUCUUGACGUGCCCGCGUCACGUUCGCGGGAAAGGUAAAUAUUCAAAGAAACUCAAGAACGAUUAUUGAUUUCCGGUUAAUCACUACUUUUGAAUUUCAAAAAUAAAUUUUGUCAAUAAUAAAAAAAAAAGAGAUGAUAUAUGAAAAAAAAAUUUCCACCAAAAAAAAAAAAAGAAAUAAAAGAGAGGGGGAGUCUUUCCCUGAAAAAAAAAUCUAAAAUGAAAAAAAAAUGAAAAAGCAAAAAAAAAAAAAUUUCCUCUUUUUCACCGUAGCUCAGUUUUCCUUAAAAAAAAAAAAAUUCCUUUUUCCUUCUUUUUCUUUUCUUUCUUUUCUUUCUUCUUCUUUCUUUCUUCCUUCUCCCCUAUUCCUUCUGUGUCGGCCGAAGCCCGCACGCCACCAUGGCUGCGCGCCGCAGCCUGCUGCGCCGCGCACUCCACCUCUCCACUUCACAGUCGCGACCAUCUCUUCUCUCCCCUCGCACCAGCGACGACCACCAUCGCGUGACGCCACCCUCACCGCUACUGGAGCUCGCGCACCUCUGCCCAGCAAGCAGCGCCACCACAGCUCCGCGCCCAUCUCCCUCGCUCAACCCCACGCCACCUCCGUAGCAGCAGCUCUCACCUCACGGAACCCGGGUUGAGCUCGCCGCGAUUGCCACCGGCCGCUGCCCGCCGCCUCUCUGCUGAGGUCGCUCGCCGCGGCUAUUUUCUUCCUCCGCUGCGCAGUCCACCAGUGCUCCACCUUCGGCUUCAGCUCGGUCUCCACAGUCGUCGCAUGCCACCCGCUGCUGCCCCCUUUCAUUUGGGUUGUCGUCCAAGGUGGAGGUAAUUGGAACUUGUCCCCCAUUUUCUUAAUAACUAAUUGGUGCUGCCUGGGUUGCUCAAUAGUUAAUGUUGUUGACGAUUGAAGUUUAUUUUCUCAAUUGGUGAAUUCCACCAGUGGUACUGGUCGGACUAUUUUCGCUUGGAAUUGCUAUUUCUUUUGGGUUGGGUGAAAUUGUGCAAUUAAUUGGCCAACUGGAGCCAUUUGUUGGGAUUUUGGGUGAGUUGAAAUACUGCAACUGUCUAGUGACAUUUGGGCGAUUUGAUUCUGCUUUUGCAUGUUGAAUUGGAAUAUCUGGCCGCUUGUUUUACUUGUGAGAUUGGUAGCAUUUAUUAAUUAUGGAAGACAUCCUGGUGAUUGGUUAAUAUUGCUAUUUUGGGACCAUUGUUUGUGACCUCAGUGGUCGGGGUUCCUAACUGGUGGAUUAGUACAUACUUGGCACAAUCGAAUUUAGGUUAGGAGUCAAGAGGUUAAAGUGAGUAAUGUGAGUAUGAAUCCUUAGUAUGUGAGUAAUGAAUCCUUAGUAUCAUUCCCUUUCACAUGUGUGGUUAUGUGAGUAAUGAAUCCUUAGUAUCAUGCCCUUUCACAUGUGUGGUUAUGUGAGUAAUGAAUCCUUAGAAUCACCAGUUAUAAUGAAUCCUUAUGCACAUUUAAUUGACUUAAUAUUUCGUACCCACAGAUAAUCAAAGAUAUAACUGGGUGAUUCACGAGUUGGUAGAGUGUUUCUAAAUGAUAGUUGCACCUCUUCAUCACAUGAUUCUGGUUGCUGAUCAGAAUCCAAUCUUCUUCCAAUAGCUUCGUUUGGUUCAGAUUGUGUCUUUCUUGUGCCUUUCAAUCUUUACAAUUUAAUAAUUUGUUUCUUAGAUUAAUAGAGUGCAAGAAAGACAAACAGAUAAUAGAGUAAAUUAAAACUCAAGACAAAAGACCCAUAUUUUGGAUAGAGUGCAAGAAGAUAUGGUACUCUAUUAUAUAUCUGAUAGUAACAACGGAAUUGAUAGGGUCUUAAUUUGGCCAGGUCACGUGAAACCACAAUAUAUAUAUACAAUAUAUAUAUAUAUAUAUAUAUUUUUUUUUUAUUUUCAAGUACAUGUUUUGUGAGACUAUGAGCCGGUUUAGAUUGUAACUUUUGGGAAUUUUUACAGAAAAUAUAAAUCGCAUCUACAAAAAAAAAAUUAAUCAAAGAUAUAAUUGGUGAUUCAUGAGUGGAUAAAAGAAUUGAGUGUUUCCCAAUUGAUAAAGGAUAGAGUUUUUCUUAUGUAGUAGCUGGACUUCUUGCUCGCAUAAUUGUGGCUGUCCAUCUCUUUGAUUUGGAUUCCGAUCUUAUUCAAAUACUUUUGGAGGGGUAUCCUAUAUUUAGAGUGUCAAUCACAAACUUCAUUAUGUUGAUUCGUCCAAAAUCGCUCCCCAAUAACCCGUUCAAACCCACCCACUAAUUUGAAAUAGAUUUAAAUGGAUAUUCAAUUAAACUCAUUUAAUUAAUAGAUAGUAGAUUAACUCGAAUCAUUUAAACUCAAAUAUUAAACAAAUAAUUUGAAUUUAUUAUCAAUCUAAUAACAAUAAGAUGCCAUUAUUUUUUAUCAGACAACAUGUAAAAAAAAUAAAAAAAUAAAUUAUAACCAUUUAAAUUCAUUUAAAUCACUUAUUUUGACACCUCACCACUUGUUCAGCCGUUCCUUUCUUCCAUGCCGUCGCCAGUGUCUGUCAUUUCCGAUUAUCAGGUAAGGCUCUGACAUUAGUGUCCACCUGCCAUCGUGCGAUCCCAUUGAUUAACCAAGUUACAGCGCUGUCAUAUUUGUCAAGCCAUCCUUCAUUAUUGGAUCUUUUAUUCUAUAUAUGGGACCGUCCUUACUGUUCCCAUGAAAGAUUGGUUCAGAAAUGUAUGGCAGCUGUGAAAUACGUUAGCUCUCUGAAUCUUGUCCCAUAAAGAUAUGUAGCUGAAAAUCCGAACGCAUUGGUUUCACGAGAGUUUUCUUAUCCACCGUGCCUGCCAAUUUUCUAUCACCAUAUAACAGCGUUUUUAAACCAUACGGACUGACCGAUUCUAAACAUUGAACCGAGGGUCCGGUGGUUCAGUCCGAGUUAAACAAUUGAGUUGAACAGACAUUUACUGGACCUGCUCAGAAAUUGGGUUUAAAUAAAGAAAAUUGAGUUUUUAACUAUAUAUUUUGUGAGACUAUGAGCUGGUUUAGAUUGUAAUUAUUGGGAAGUUUUAUAGAAAAUAAUUGUAUGGUGUUUCCUAAUUGAUGAAGGAUAUAGUUUUUCUUAUGUAGUGGCUGCACCUCUUGAUCACAUGAUUCUGGUGGUUAUCGAUCUCUUGGAUUUGGAUUCUAAUCUUAUUCAAACAUUUUUUAUUCUUUCAGAUUAUGUCUUUCUUGUGCAUUUCAAUCUUUGUAAUUUAUCAAUUAUUUCUUAGAUUGGAUUUUGAUUCUUUUAGACUAUGUCUUUCUUGUGCAUUUCAAUCUUUACAAUUUAAUAAUUGUUUCUUAGAUUGGAUUUACAUGUUUAGUUCUAAAGUGGUCCCAUGAUCUCGCUUCGAGGUCUUCCAAGUUGUAUUUCUAGUUGAUUUCGGGUAUUUAGGAAUUUCAUAUUUUAUUACACCAUUUUUUAACUCAAUAAAAUCAUAUUUCAACUUUUGUCACACUAUUUUCCAACUCAAUUACAUUAAAAGCAAACUUGUGAGAAAUAAAACUUGUGAUACCCCAUCAACCCCUGCUCCUAUUAAUAUUACACAUGUAGAUUAUAUUUUAAAAGGAAAAUUGCCAAAUUGGUCCCUUAAGUUUUCAGAAAAAAACUUUUUUUAGUCCAUCAAAAUUAGAAUUAGUUAAAAUAGUCCAUCAAAUAUAACGCAAGAAAAGUAUCCUUUUAGUCCGCAAGCUCAUUUUUUGAUCGGUUUUCUAGUCAAAAAGUGUGUGCCUUUCUUAGGCACCCACAAUUUAUUAUGUGCAAUAAUGGUUUCUGGAUAUAGAUUCUUACAUUUCUGAUUGUUGAUCACAUGAUUUGGAUUCUGUAUUCAAAUUGUGAAACUAUUGUUUAGCAAGAUGUGUCAGUAUUGUUUAGCAAGAUAUAAUUGAUCACAAGAUGUGAAACUACCACAUACGACAAUACCCAAUUGUUUAGCAAAUCAAGCAUAAGGUUCAGACAAGUAUCAGGGUAUUAAUAGGUCCUCUAUAUUAUUUAUUUGCAGCUGGUGCCAAAUGACACUACUUAAGACUUGGAGGAAAAAUAUGAUUGCCGAAGAAUCGUUAUCAGAAUCAAAUUGUACCUUAAAUACAACUUUUUUGGAUUCUGUUAAGUUUGCAGCGAGGUGGAGAAGACCUCAAUUACAUACAAGCAAUUAACAGCAGAAGAAACAUAGCUUUAAUAUCUGAUUCUAGUAAUGGUUUCUGGCAAAGAAUACGUUGUCCUUCACGAGUAAUGUUUCUAGAAACAAUCUUUAUAUUUUUAGUGUUUAAAAUAGCUUCAAGAACACGGCAAAAGUAAACUUUGCUUUAUGGACUGAUGAGUAAACACUAUAAGAUGAUGGGUAAACAUCAACACUAUAUGUCUGGAAAGAGAGGAAUUACAUAAUUUUUAGCAACGAGGUUACCAAAAUGCUUCAGCUUAUGCUUCAUGCUAAGCUGCCAUAAAACUUUCCAUCCUUUUGCAUUUGCCUCAUUCCUACUUCCUGAAUCCUCCUGAUGAGACCUCCUCCGAUAAGGAGAAAAUUAGUUGAUUGUAAAGAUUAGGUUCUACAUUGGUCAAAGUCUCAAAGAUAAAGAUGAUAAACUUUGCCACUGGAUAAUGCCUAAUUGGCCGUAACAAAUGAAGUUAAGGUGCUUGAAGGUGACGCACUAGUGAAACCAUGCAUUCCAGGGAUAAGAAUUAAACUUGGAAAUCUGAAAGAUUACUAAAGAAUAAAUAUUAGAAUCAAUAAUAUUAAAAAAAAAAUUUCCAAAUCAAAUCAAAAUUAUUGAAAAUUGACCAAAGCUCAAAUCCAAAUCAAAUAAAUCCUUACACGUUAAACCCACGAGAAACCUGUUAUCAAGAGGUGCAAUUACCACUUGAUAAAACUCCAAUGUAGCUAUCACCUCGUGGAUCACACAUAUAUUGGGUCCUCUUAAUUAUUUUCAGUUGGUACGAAAUCAUUCAGAUAUGAUUUCCGUGACAAAUUUUGAGUGUAACGCAAUAUUCACCUCAACCAAUUGAGACAUUGUCUGAUAACCAUGAAAUUUGACUCUCCAAUUCUUGGGUUUUGCCUCUCUCUUUAUAAGGUGUAGAAUGUGGGUUUUCUUUCGAAUGAACCUGGUUCUAAAGAAUGCUAACUGGUUGACAAUUGCGGAAGUUUUUGUGCAUAUCUGUACCAUGAAGCCAAUCAAAAUGUGAAUGGACUAGACAUAAAGGGCAGUAGUUUAAAAUUUGUAGUGAAAUUAACUUAAUUACCUCAAUGGAAUUGAACUGAAAAAUGCAAUUUUCUAUUCAGACAAAAUUCAUAAGUUCUAAGUUCAUUAAGAAAGAUCAAUGCCUGUCAUAUUAAUGCAAAAUUAUUGAUAACAACAAGAAGGAUACUUUUAGAGAUGAUAUAGUCUAGAGUCCAUGCAUCUAACCCACUCUCUUGACAUAGAUCGGAGUUCAGUGAGCGUUAAACUCAAGUCUAUUGGCCAAAAAAAGGAAAAAAAAAAAAGACUCAAGUCUAUUCAAAAAACCAAAGAUUGGACUCCAAAUCAGUGAUGUCGAAUUGAUUAUCCACGGACGCUAAAACCGCCAGAAACAAGUCAUCAAGAGGUGAAACUACCACAUACGACAAUACCCAAUUGUUUAGCAAAUCAAGGAUAAGGAUCAGACAAGUAUCAGGGUAUUAAUAGUCCUCUAUAUUAUUUAUUUACAGCUGGUACGAAGUCAAUUAAUCAGAGAUACCCACCAAAUGACACAACUUAAGACUUGAAGGAAAAAUAUGAUUGCUGAAGAAUCGUUAUCAGAAUCAAAUCAUUGUGCCUUAAAUACAACUUUUUUGGAUUCGGUUAGGUUUGUGAUAGGGUGUAAAUUGUUGGUUAUUUUAUUGUUAAUUUCCCCUUUUAUCCUUGUCAAAUAUUGUUUUAAUUAUUAAUAUUUACUUAUAUUUGGUAUUGGACCCAAUUUCAGGGAUUGAAGCAGAAAAUUACCAAAAAGGAGGGACUUGUAUGGAAAAAUGCAGACUUCUAAGGACUUCAACCUUUGGGUCCUUGAAUUGGUGGGGACCACAAGCUAGUGCAAGGCAUUUAGUCAUUUGGACUUUUCAAAGAGAGCAACGUAGAGAGAUUUGGAACAACAAGUACUUUGGAGGCUUUGUCCACAUGUGCGGGGACCACGGAUAAGAAGCAUGAGUCAUUUGGACUCUAGGAAAAGAAACGUACAAGACUUUGAAUUUGGUGUGGGGACCACUAGAGAUAGCAUUAGACUUCCUUUUGGCUUUAAAAAGGGAGAAACGUACGGGAGGUUAUCAAUCAAUAGUUUAGUUUAGGUUUUUAGCAUAGUUUUAGUUUUUCUUUUCUUAGCUCUUUCGCAUGGUUGUUCUCCAUUAAUGGAGAACUAACCUCUUAAUUCUAGUCAAGGGGACAACUGAAGAUUUGGUUCAACAAUUACUGUGAGAUCGAAUCUGUUUUAAUUAUUUUCUUCAUUUAUUGGUAUUUAUAUGUUCCUUGAUUUUAAUUGCUAUGGCCUUGUGUAUGAUUGAUUAGUGCGCAAUAAUUAAUUAUUCAUAUAGGCUAUUUUGCUAAAUAGAGGUAAUUGAAUCCGUAAUUGUUCGUUAUCUCUAUCUUAGUAGCAACUGGCGUAAUUGGGUUUAUGUCAGGGGAGCAUACGAUCUAGCUUAAACAAACCCUCGUAGCGUGUUUGUUAGUUAGGAUUGGGCCUUUCUAAUUAAUAAUGCAACCUAAGAAUUAAAUCCUACGGUCGUACUUAGGGUUGUUUUUGGGUUAGAGAAAUAGCUAACGGUCAUACCUUAGCUAUCGAUAAAUUAAUGAAGGGUUGGUUGUUUAUCGCGUGCAUGACAACUAUAACCAAUCUAUUAAUAAAUGUUGGGAUUAUUUUUGCAUCAAUGAUCAGUGCAUGAACCAUUUCUGAAGUAUACCCUUGGCUAAAGUUUCUCUUAGUUAUUUCUUUUAAUUAAUUAUUUUCUGCAGUUAAUUUAUUUAGUUAGCUUUUAAUCCAAAACCCCCCAUACUUUGGACUCUAGAAGAAACGAAUUAUCCCCAGUCUCUGUGGAUUCGACCCUACUCAUCGCUAUAUACAAAAUCUGUAUUUUUCUCGAGUAGGUAUUUAUUAUUGCACAGGUUCGGCACCUGUCAAUUUUUGGCGCCGUUGCCGGGGACUGGUGUCAGAUUAAUUUGUUUCUUUUUUAAGUUCACCUUGUUUUCAUUUUUAACUUAUUUCUCUUAUUUUUUUUAUUAUAUAGUUCAUGGCUUCUAACACUCCGUAUUUUGGUGAUAUACUGGAUUUUGUUUUCGGGGAAGGCAAUGAGACUGAUUGUUUUUCUAAGUUUGCAUAUUUAGAGGCAAUAAACUCUAUUAAAAAAAGAAUGGCUGCUGCAACCUGUGAAAUUUGUUAUGCCAGGGAUCAUUCAACCGGUAUGUGCCCCGAAUAUCAAGAUGAUCUGAGUGUCCCAUUCAAUAAUUAUGGAGAUUUUUCACCCUGGUCUCAAACGUGGUAUAACCCUAAUCCAAACGGGUAUGAUCAAGGAUGGUGGGAUAACUCCAGUUAUGAUUAUACAACAGGGCCAAUGAAUUUUCAGCAGUAUGAGUCUCAAGAACCGUCAUCCAUGUCAGGUAUGUCUCUUGAAGAAAUAGUUGAAUUAAUAGCUACUAGCACAUAUCAAAUUCAACAGGAGGUACAUCAGUUUCAACAGGAGACACAAAAGAUGAGUGAAGAGAUGAAAGAAGGAAGGCGUGAAUGGGCAUCUAAAAUGAGCAAAUUGAUUUCUCCAGUUUAUGAAGAAUUGCCUUCACCGACUAUUAUCGACCAUGAGGAAGAUGAGAGUGCAAUUAUUCUGACAAUUGACAUGGUACUGCAAGGGUCUCAAGAAGAAGAAUCUAAAGAUGCAGUUGAAAAGAAAGUUGAAGCGCAAGAAUUGAGACCCCAACAUCAAAUAGUUCAAGUGAAUGAAUCCAGUGAACAAUCUCCAAAUGCGGUGACAUCUCCUCCAUUCCUUGAUCAAUAUUUUCCUGACUCUUAUUCUUUAAUUCCUGUUGGUGAGAUUGAUUUUAUUAUACCAGAAAAUUUUGAGUUUCAUGACAGGAACAAGUCAAGAGUCACGAUGGCAAAAUAUCUCAAACCAAUAAGUGCUUGUGAUGGAGGGGUGAAUGAAGAUUUAAGGUCAUUACUUGGUUGUUUGGCGCCAUCUACUAGUCCAUGGAAGACCGUAGCUCGUGUGCUCAAAAAUUACUCUACUUACGAGGGCUAUCAAGAUUACAUAGAGGAUGAAGCACUAAAGCGAGCUACGCGAUUUUAUCCUCCAUGAAUAAACAGGACAAUGUCUAGCCAAAGACAUUAAAGAAAGGCGCUACUUGGGAGGCAACCCAAGACUAUUUGUUUCAGUUUUCAUGCAUUUUUGAAGUUUUAGUUAAGUGUUAGUGUCAAUUAAUAGUUUGAUGUUUGGUGGCAGGAAAUUAGCAGUUAGAUGUGCCCACGCCAGGCGGUCACGCCUGAGGGAAAGAAAUUUUCGUUCAGGAUCUGCGGAUUCUAUAGCAGUUAGACGUGCCCACGCCAGGUGGUCACACUUGAGGGAAAGGAAUUUUCGUUCAGGAUCUGCGGACUCUAUAGCAGUUAGACGUGCACGCCUAGGCCAGAGGUUCCUUAUUCUAAAAAAAAAAAAGAGAGAAAAAAAUUUUACAAAAGCAAUUUCAAUUUUUGGAGAAUUUCGGUAAGACUAGUUAAAAAAAAAAACCAUUUUAUUUUAUUUUUCCUCUUUUCUUCUUUCUUUUCUUUCCUUCUUUCUUUCUUCCCUUUUCUUCUUCUUCUCCGCCGCUCCCCUGUUUCCCUCUGUUUCUUCUUUUUCUUUCACGCCGCCUGCCGCUACCACCUCACCCACGCAGCUCGAGUCGCCCAAGCUCCCUUGCGGCCAGGAGUUUCGUAGCACGCAGCUUCACCUCACGGUCCACCGCCAUCUUGCGGCCAAGGCCCGCCGCUGGUCCCCUCUCUUCCAUCGCCAAAUCCACGCUGCACGCCGCCCGUGAGCCAAGCCGACAGCGCGCAGCCCAGCCCGCGCCGCUGCUGCUCUCCACCAGCUUGCCGCCGCCUCUCCCUCAGCUCAAUCCCCCGCCAACAGUCUCCAUCAGCUCGCGACCGCCGCUGCACCGCCACCCUCCACCACGAGCAGCUUCACCUCGCGGCCAGGAGCUGCCACGAGCCCUACAGCGCCGCGCCAGCUUGCAGCGCAGCCCACGUCAAUCGUCCGCCCCCGCUGCUGUCGACCUCCAUCAGCACCACCACCUGAGCCGCACGGGACUCCUGUCUUUGCCGGCCUCUCCUGCAACCGCGCACAUCUCCUCCAUUGCCGCGCGUCACCACCUGCCCAAAAUUGGCAGGUGGAGGUAUUCGAAUUUCCACCUUGAUUAGUAUUUCUCUAGUCCUUAAAUUGCUGGAAUUUGCGUUCUUGUUUCUUGGGCUUCUUGUUGGAAAACAGCAGGCAGUGAUUUUAGACAUUUUCUGGGGCUAAUUUUGGGUAGAAUUGAGUUAAACUGCUGCGAUAUUUGGGGGUACUUUGGGAGUAAGUUGCCAAUUGCUUCUGGCUUUAAUUUCCGCUCAUUUUUGGCACUACUUGGGUGUUCAAAUCUAUUUCGUUUACUAUGUUAGUUAUUUGCUUUAAUUUCUCCCUAUACACUCACCAGUGGUACUGGUGAUAGUAGUUGUUUAACAUCUGAUAAUCUGUGUUCUGGAUUGCCUAAUUAAACGAGUUGUGACUACUGGGCAUUUGUGAUUGAGUCCAUCCUGUGAUUGAGUGUCUGGAUAAAGCAGUGGGUGCUUUAGGCAUUUUCUGGGGGAACUUUUGGGACAGAUUUGGGUUUAAUUGCUGCCAAAGUGGGGGUAUUUUCUGCUAUUUGUUGAAAAGCUGGCCUUUUGAUUACUUUUUCCCUGCGACUCACCAGUGGUACUGGUUGAGGUCUUUUGCCUAUCGUUGUGGCUUAUAUUUGAAGAUAUUUGCUUAUUUUGAAGUUAAGGUUCUUGCAUUUGAGUUGCUGCUAUUGAAUUUAAUUCUUUCCUGUCUGUGCACCAGUGGUACUGGUUGCAGUGUUGCUUUCCAUUUCUUAAUCCUCUGUGCUGGACUGCCUAUUCGAUUCUUGAGUUUUGGUGCCUGAACUGUCUCUCGAUUCUUACCAUUAGUUGCUGGAAUUACUGGUUUCUUGGCCAAAUUGCUAAUUUUGAGCGUUUGACUUGGGUAUUUGACUGUCCAACUGGUGACAUUUAUUGCGCUUCAAUCAAUUGAAUUCAUUUGCUCUGUUGGUAUCCCUGUCGGUAUCACUUGAGUUCUAUUUUGCUAGUUUCUGUCUUGCGUCCUUUGAAGUGCCUUUGGUUGGGUAUUUUCUUCAUUUGUUUGUUGAAUUGGAAGGCUACUGUGCCACUUCCAUUGCUUAUUGCAGUUGGUGGCGUCUAAUUGACUUGCUGGGAGUAUUUUACCUAUUGAUUUCAAUUGCUAAAUCUUUAGAGAAUUUGUUGCGAUUUGCAUUUUGUUGAUUGGGUUGUCUACUAGGAAGGCACCAGUGGCUAUUAAAUUUUUAUUGCUUUGAAUUUGCUAAGUGGCCUCUCCCACCGAUGGCCUCUGAUGCUAAGUGGCGCCACUUGCAAGAUCAGGUUCACCACGCGGAUGAGCAAGUAACGCAUAUCGCCAGCCAGAUGGCUCCAAUGUCUAAGAACCUGGCCGCGUACUUCCACCAUAUCUGCUUCACUCCCCCGUUCCUGCCUAUUCCGUAGCCGCUUGAGAGGGAAGUUUCAUUUUUCUCUUCAUUUUAAUUGCUAUAUUACCUCCAUCGAGGGCAAUGUCGGACUUAGGUGUGGGGGGGACAGCUGUGGUACAGCUAGUAUUUCUAAUUUUUAGUUUUUACAUGUUUUCCUUUAUUUUUGUUAUUUGUUCUAGUUUUCGUUUAUUUUCUUUUCUUUUUUCUAGUGGUCAGUCUUCUAUAACUACCAAGUUUUGAUGCUGGAUUGUUGCCUCUAAUUCUGCUAUUGCCAAGUUUUAUUAAUAAAAGGGUAUUAAGUUAAUGUGGUUGAGCUCAGGAACAUCUCUUUGGUGAAUAUCAAUACUUGCUUAACUUUUCCAAUUUUUGGUUAACUUUUCUAGGCAUAGGGAAUGAUUGUUGGCAUUCUUCAUGUGAAUUGGUCCAAUUAUUAAUUUUAGUUCUCCAUGUUUGAAAUUUGAGGCUGGCUGCUGUUAUUUUUAGUUAUUGUGCUAUAUGAUUGUAAAUAAGAGGUGACUGUACUCCGCUAGUUAUCACUACUGAGUAACCGGGGAUCUUCACCUAAACUGUCGAUUCUCGCGUCAAAAGGUAGUAAUUGCUAUGAGUGCGUGGUCCUGUAGCGAUUAGAGCUGAAUAACCGGGCUCCUCCAUCUGUCAAAUGUUGGAGUUCGCGUCAAAAGGCUCUAAGGGCUAUAGACUAAGUCUUUUGCUAUUCAAAAAACAAAAAACAAAAAACAAAAAACAAAAAACAAAAAAAGAAGUGAAGUAAAGAUUGUGUUAGUAUGUGAAUAAAUCAGCUUGCCGGUUUGUGAUCUUAAUGUCGAGAUUUUGGUUAAUAGUUGGACCAUUUGCUGAUAAAUGUGAGCAACCAUUCCUUCUUCUUAGAUUAGUUUGCUUUAAAUUGGAGAAGUUGGUGGUUUAGAGGCUAACCGGGUUGAUUUUUCUUGGAUAUUGACCUGUGAUGCUUGAUAUUUAUUUUUCUUGGGCAUCUUGGCAAUACGGUAGUUGGAGCAGUAGCCAUUGUCAAAUUUUGGUGUUCAAUUGCUGUUCCCAUGCUUGAGGGCAAGCAUGAUUCAGGUGUGGGGGGAAUUGAUAGGGUGUAAAUUGUUGGUUAUUUUAUUGUUAAUUUCCCCUUUUAUCCUUGCCAAAUAUUGUUUUAAUUAUUAAUAUUUACUUAUAUUUGGUAUUGGACCCAAUUUCAGGGAUUGAAGCAGAAAAUUACCAAAAAGGAGGGACUUGUAUGGAAAAAUGCAGACUUCUAAGGACUUCAACCUUUGGGUCCUUGAAUUGGUGGGGACCACAAGCUAGUGCAAGGCAUUUAGUCAUUUGGGCUUUUCAAAGAGAGCAACGUAGAGAGAUUUGGAACAACAAGUACUUUGGAGGCUUUGUCCACAUGUGCGGGGACCACGGAUAAGAAGCAUGAGUCAUUUGGACUCUAGGAAAAGAAACGUACAAGACUUUGAAUUUGGUGUGGGGACCACUAGAGAUAGCAUUAGACUUCCUUUUGGCUUUAAAAAGGGAGAAACGUACGGGAGGUUAUCAAUCAAUAGUUUAGUUUAGGUUUUUAGCAUAGUUUUAGUUUUUCUUUUCUUAGCUCUUUCGCAUGGUUGUUCUCCAUUAAUGGAGAACUAACCUCUUAAUUCUAGUCAAGGGGACAACUGAAGAUUUGGUUCAACAAUUACUGUGAGAUCGAAUCUGUUUUAAUUAUUUUCUUCAUUUAUUGGUAUUUAUAUGUUCCUUGAUUUUAAUUGUUAUGGCCUUGUGUAUGAUUGAUUAGUGCGCAAUAAUUAAUUAUUCAUAUAGGCUAUUUUGCUAAAUAGAGGUAAUUGAAUCCGUAAUUGUUCGUUAUCUCUAUCUUAGUAGCAACUGGCGUAAUUGGGUUUAUGUCAGGGGAGCAUACGAUCUAGCUUAAACAAACCCUCGUAGCGUGUUUGUUAGUUAGGAUUGGGCCUUUCUAAUUAAUAAUGCAACCUAAGAAUUAAAUCCUACGGUCGUACUUAGGGUUGUUUUUGGGUUAGAGAAAUAGCUAACGGUCGUACCUUAGCUAUCGAUAAAUUAAUGAAGGGUUGGUUGUUUAUCGCGUGCAUGACAACUAUAACCAAUCUAUUAAUAAAUGUUGGGAUUAUUUUUGCAUCAAUGAUCAGUGCAUGAACCAUUUCUGAAGUAUAUCCUUGGCUAGAGUUUCUCUUAGUUAUUUCUUUUAAUUAAUUAUUUUCUGCAGUUAAUUUAUUUAGUUAGCUUUUAAUCCAAAACCCCCCAUACUUUGGACUCUAGAAGAAACGAAUUAUCCCCAAUCUCUGUGGAUUCGACCCUACUCACCGCUAUAUACAAAAUCUGUAUUUUUCUCGAAUAGGUAUUUAUUAUUGCACGGGUUCGGCACCUGUCAGUUUGCAUCGAGGUGGAGAAGAUCUCAAUUACAUACAAGCAAUUAACAGCAGAAGAAACAUAGCUUUAAUAUCUGAUUCUAGUAAUGGUUUCUGGCAAAGAAUACGUUGUCCUUCACGAGUAAUGUUUCUAGAAACAAUCUUCAUAUUUUUUGUGUUUAAAAUAACUUGAAGAAUACGGCAAAAGUAAACUUUGGUUUGUGGACUGAUGAGUAAACACUAUGAAAUGAUGAGUAAAUAUCAACACUAUAUGUCUGGAAAGAGAGGAAUUACAUUUUUUUAGCAACAAGGUUACUAAAAUUGGGGGUUAUUAUAACUUUAUCCCUUUAAACUAUAGUGCUAAUAUCAAUUUACCUUUUUAACAUUAUUUUGCAGGCAUUUGACCUCGCAGUUAUUCUCCUUUUUCAUUCUAAGAGGACCAAGAAAAAAUGCAAAAGGGUUCCCUUUUUUUUUCAUUCUCAACUAUUAAGAAAAAAAAAGAAAUUGAAUAGAGGUUGACAGAAAACUCAAUUUCAGAAAAAAGGAAAAUAAAGAAGAAUCCAAUAUUAUAAUUAAUUUAAAAUAAGUUAGAGUGGGCGGUAGGGGUGAAGAGUAAGUAGCAAUUUUAAAAUAAUAAGCACAUUGGAUUCUUUAUUAUUUUUAUUUUCUUUUUUUAAAAUUGAGUUAUCUCUCUAUUUUCUUAUUUUAAGUAUUGAUAAGUACACGAGGAAAAAAAGAAGAAGACAUUUUUUUUUGACUUUUUCCCCUUGUUAUUAAAGAGGGUGGAAAAAAGGGAGAAGACACUUUUUUAUUUUUUUUCUUGGUAUUAAAAGGGUGAAAAAGGGGGAAAAAACCAUUCCAAUUUUUUUUUAUUUUUAAUCAUACAGGAGAGGGAUGUAUUUCUUCUAAAAUAUUAGGUAAAUUAUAUAUAAUUUUCUGUAUUUUCAUCUAUUGCCACAUGAUCUCCAAAACAUUUUAGGGUUAUAUGCAGCUGAUGUAAGGGAAAAAAUUCAUAUUAAUACCUCAAAUUUCCCUUAAGGAGUUUUUAUAUUUAAAUCAAAUUAUUCAAUGAAUAUAUUUUUGUUUUUCUCCUAGUCUUAAAGAGUCUUGCCACAGGCCUAAAUCAUUUCCGCUAUAUUGCUUUGGCCAAAUUUACAAUCGUAUAUUUGUGUUUGUAGCCGUUGAUUGAACUUUGGUCUUAGGAAAAAUGAUAACAAAUGGAAAGAGUGAGAUACAAGUCAAUUAAAAAACAUGAUUAACACUAGAAUUUGUGAGACAUGGAGACUUGGAUUAUAAAAAGGAUAAGAAAACUUGAAUAGGUGAAAAAGGGUGGAUUAAAACUAUACGAAAGAAGUAGCAUAACAGUGAUAUAGCAUUUGGUGAUGGGAAGAUUCUUGGUGAUGUGUUUUUUAAGUUUGAUAGGCAUUUUAUUACUUUUGGGAAGAUUAUUAUAAUCAUUUUGAGUCCUUAACAAAAGCACGGAAGUGUAAUAUUUGAAUAUAGAGGUGGGCAACAUGAGAUUAUUAGAAAUCUUAGAAGAAGUUUUUGAAAAUAUCCUUUGCUGUAAUACUAUUCUUUUUUUUUUUCCUACCUUGUGAUUAUUGAUUUCCACAUUCACACUCAAAAUGCUAAGGCAAAAAGCAAAAUUCAAGGAUGAAAAAUGAAAGAAAAAGAGACAAGGUUAUAAACAUGGGGAAAGACUCUAGAUUUGAUUAAUGCUAAAAUAUUAUAAAAUGAUUAUAGCAUUUCUUUUUCAUUUUUUAUGAGUGACACUUUUUUAAAAAAAAAAAUUUAGUAGGGGAAUGAUGGGAUUUAAAAAGCGAAAAAAGAAUAGGGAGAUCAAAAUUCAGGAUCUCUAAUUCCUGGGAGUAACAUGAUAAUAUUAUUUCUAAAAACCCAAAAUCAAAUCCUAUUGGUGUAAUAUAAAGGAAUUCGGAUGAUCGAACUGUUUAAAACAUAAAAUACUUCUUAAUUAUAAUAUCUUAUUCAGGAUAAGAAAACUUGAAUAGGUGAAAAAAGGUGGAUUAAAACUAUACGAAAGAAGUAGCAUAACAGUGAUAUAGCAUUUGGUGAUGGGAAGAUUCUUGGUGAUGUGUUUUUUAAGUUUGAUAGGCAUUUUAUUAUAAUCAUUUUGAGUCCUUAAAAAAAGCAUGGAAGUGUAAUAUUUGAAUAUAGAGGUGGGCAACAUGAGAUUAUUAGAAAUCUUAGAAGAAGUUUUUGAAAAUAUCCUUUGCUAUAAUACUAUUCUUUUUUUUUUCCUACCUUGUGAUUAUUGAUUUCCACAUUCACACUCGAAAUGCUAAGGCAAAAAGCAAAAUUCAAGGAUGAAAAAUGAAAGAAAAAGAGACAAGGUUGUAAACAUGGGGAAAGACUCUAGAUUUGAUUAAUGCUAAAAUAUUAUAAAAUGAUUAUAGCAUUUCUUUUUCAUUUUUUAUGAGUGACACUUUUUUUAAAAAAAAUGUAGUAGGGGAAUGAUGGGAUUUAAAAAGCGAAAAGAGAACAGGGAGAUCAAAAUUCAGAAUCUCUAAUUCCUGGGAGUAACAUGAUAAUAUUAUUUCUAAAAACCCAAAAUCAAAUCCUAUUGGUUUAGUAAUAUAAAGGAAUUUGGAUGAUUGAAGUGUUUAAAACAUAAAAUACUUCUUAAUUAUAAUAUCUAAUUCAUUAGUCGAAUGUGGAAUCUUAUGUUUGUUGCCCCUUUCUUUUUUGCUUUGGAUUUGGGUUUUUGGCGUUGAAUUUUGAGUAUGAAUUGAGUAAGAUUUUUUUUUUUUUUUUUAAGAAUUAAUCUUUUUUUUUUAAAUUAUUUAUUUUAUUGAUAGGAGCAAAUUUUACACACUGAGAAAGACCAAUUCGAAGUACAGCAAUCGACUGAAAAGGUAAUAAAUCAAACACAAAACCUCCAUGUCUCGUUGCAUAUUAGCUCCAGUUGUCCUUUGUUCUGCCCUUCAUACGCUUAUUUUUCCGAAUUGAAGGCAUUCCUAAUCUAUCAAGUCGAAUGGCCCCACGAGCCAUAGUUGGGAACCAAUUAAAGGCCUCGUAAAGCUUGACUUGAAUUGAGUAAGAUUAUAGCAUGAGAAGGUUCAUCAUGUUCAUUUAAUUAAGGUCUUCCUGCAUUUAAAAUGGGAGCUUACAUGACAUAAAAAAAGAUUAAAAUGGUAAUACUUUACAAAAGAGCAUCAUAGUGGGAACAUUUUUCCUAAAAAAGGUCACUUCAGAACUAAAUUCCGUGAAUCCCUGGUUUCAUGUGGGUUUUCUUUUCAUGGACGUACGUGAUUAACAUCAUGUCUCUUAUCAUUUCGAUGAGGAUUAUUAACAUCCAAGUCCUAGAGCCUGAUUGCAUUAGUACUAUCCUUGGCCUUGGGUAUAAUAUCACAAGUUCCUCCCUGUAAAUGUUGCAAUGCGUUUUAAGAGAGUGAGAAUUAAGUAUAUCACGGGGAAAAAAAAAAUUAAUGGCAAAGUAACUUACCAGAACAACCAACAGAUGGAGGAGGAUAAUCCAACAAGCAAGUCCUUUGGAAUCCAUCAAUUGGUAGGUUUUAUAUCCCUUGCAACUCCUCCUUUGAAGGAUUAGGCAACAGCAGAAGCAAAUGCCAAAUAUUACAUAUGGAUGAAAAGUGUGCUUGAUUAGAAGGUUCUUUUUCAAAUAGUCGAUUAAAUUAUGACCCCUUGAAAGAUAGUGUUUCUUAUUGAGGUUGAAAAAUGAACCAAAUUACUUGAUACUCAAAUCAGAUUUGGCUAAAUAAAAGUUUGUUUGAACUUAAUUUGCCAACUAAUCAAAUCAAAAUUUAAGAAGUAUUAUUAUGUGUUAGAUUAACUAUCAAAUUUGGCAUUAACUUGGCUUGAUAAACAUAAAAUUAGAAUUUACAAGUAAAAAAUUCAAAUUACUCAAGUUCGACUCAUGCUCGAUUCUAUAAAAAAGCUCAUUUGAGUUUGCCUUAAUUAAUAAACAAGUCAAGUUUGAAGACCUUCCUCUUAAAAAAAUUUUAAAAAAAUCAAGUUUGAGUACAGUUUCAAGUUUAUUAAAUAAUCUAACAAGUUUGAAUACUACAACAUUGAAUCUAGUAGAUCUAGACAAAAUCACUAAAUUUAUUUUAGACCACAACUGUAGAUUGUUUAGAAAACAAGGACCAAAAUGUAGACCUACCCACAUGAUGCAAACCAACCAGCCACGUGAUCCAUGUUGUAACCUUGCUAGCUUCACUUAGCUAUCGCCUUGUAUAAAUAGCCGUAUAGCCCCCAAGAGUCUUUUCACCACCAAAGUUACAUUUUGAGUCUGUUCAUAGGCAAGGCAUGGCUUCAUCUAUCACUCUGAUCGCAGUCUUUUCAAUUGCCCUGGUAAGGUUUCUCAACCAUCAAUACUGUACUUGAAGUAGUAGUUCAUAUGAGAUAAUUGCUAGACUGUAUAGGAAUACUGAUGAAACCCGUGAAUUAAAGCUACCUGAGAAAACACAUUCUUCUUCCUUUUUGCACAUUUAUCUGCAGCUCUAACCAUCGCCACUGAAGGAAUGGAAGCUCUUCAGAUGGUUCUGUAGUUCUAUUCUCAUAAAAGCUUGACUUCCAAACAUUACCAAUGCUGGUACCAUACUUAAACGUCAAUGUAACUUGAGUAAUGGCAUAUGACACUAUUUACCAUUUUUUAGUUAGAGGAUUCAUCCGGGAAAGAUUGAAAGUCAAAUCAAGAACCUUAAAAUCAACAUAAGGAAUAUUCCUGUUGCCAGUUGAGCUCGUAUUUGGAAAUUAACUAUCCUUCCCUACUAGGGGUCAUCUUUUACGGUGCUACCAUCAACGUACCUAUAUUGACGUUAGUUUCUUUUAUGUUAAUAUUUGCACAAAUGUGCAGUUUGCAUGCAUCACGGAAGCAAGGAAGAAUCCUACGGACUUUUUGCAAUCUGCUGUCAUUAACGAGCAUACUGAGGACAAUCACCAUGCAGAGUCGUCCCUUUCCAAUCAGAAGAAGACAAGUAAUGGUAACACAUUGAAGGAUUUCGAGUCGAAACCCGGCUCCUUUCUCUGGGGGUAUCAAGGCAACGACGCUGAGUCUAAGUCUAAGGAGGAGAAGCCUCUUAUGAAAGGCUUUGAGUCAAAGCCCGGCUCCUUUCUUUGGGGGUAUCAGGGCAACGACGCUGAAUCUAAGUCUAAGGAGGAGAAGCCUCUUAUGAAAGGCUUUGAGUCGAAGCCCGGCUCCUUUCUCUGGGGAUAUCAAGGCAACGACGUUGAGUCUAAGUCUAAGGAGGAGAAGCCUCUUACGAAAGACUUUGAGUCAAAGCCCGGCUCCUUUCUCUGGGGGUAUCAAGGUCCUCUUAUGAAAGACUUUGAGUCGAAGCCUGGCUCCUUUCUCUGGGGGUAUCAAGGCAACGACGCUGAGUCUAAGUCUAAGGAGGAGAAGCCUCUUAUGAAAGACUUUGAGUCGAAGCCCGGCUCCUUUCUCUGGGGGUAUCAAGGCAACGAUGCUGAGUCUAAGUCUAAGGAGAAGAAGCCUCUUAUGAAAGACUUUGAGUCGAAGCCCAGCUCCUUUCUCUGGGGGUAUCAAGGCCCUCUUAUGAAAGACUUUGAGUCAAAGCCCGGCUCCUUUCUCUGGGGGUAUCAAGGCAACCACGCUGAGUCUAAGUCUAAGAAGGAGAAGCCUCUUAUGAAAGACUUUGAGUCGAAGCCCGGCUCCUUUCUCUGGGGGUAUCAAGGCAACCACGCUGAGUAUAAGGAGAAGAAACCACUCGUGAAAGAUAAUUAAUGUCCAGGGAAGCCGCAACUUUACCUCUGAAUGAGCUACGGACAUAUAUGUCUUCUGGCUGGUCUGAUUUUCUCCAUUUUCUUUAUUGGCAUGAAAAUGUGUGAUAUGUAAUAAAUGCAGUUCUUCUUUCAACCAAGCGUUCCGUAU